Molecule: ribosomal RNA, 467 nt
Filed under: uncultured bacterium
Lineage: Bacteria
Description: partial 16S ribosomal RNA
Rfam family: Bacterial small subunit ribosomal RNA
Source: RNAcentral
CUACGGGUCGCUCCAGUGGGGAAUAUUGGACAAUGGGGGAAACCCUGAUCCAGCAAUGCCGCGUGUGUGAAGAAGGCCUGCGGGUUGUAGAGCACUUUGGGUUGGGAGGACUGCUUCUAGCACUAAUAUUGUUGGAAGUUGACGUUACCUUCAGAAGAAGCACCGGCUAACUCCGGUGCCAGCAGCCGCGGGUAAUACGGAGGGUGCAAGCGUUAAUCGGAAUUACUGGGCGUAAAGCGCGCGUAGGCGGCUAGAUCAGUCGGGUGUGAAAGCCCCGGGCUUAACCUGGGAACUGCAUCCGAUACUGUCUAGCUUGAGUACAGGAGAGGAGAGUGGAAUUCCACAUGUAGCGGUGAAAUGCGUAGAUAUGUGGAGGAACACCAAUGGCGAAGGCAGCUCUCUGGCCUGAUACUGACGCUGAGGUGCGAAAGCGUGGGGAGCAAACAGGAUUAGAUACCCCCGUAGUC